Molecule: long non-coding RNA, 3021 nt
Organism: Sciurus carolinensis (gray squirrel)
Lineage: Eukaryota; Metazoa; Chordata; Mammalia; Rodentia; Sciuridae
Exons: 5
Source: RefSeq, a predicted model, not a curated record
CUCAACCCCAGAAAGGCAAGAAACCAGGGUACAGAAACAGAUUGGUCCAUAUUGUACGGCUGGAAGUGGGUAGUGGCCCAGCACUUGCCGGGAAGAAGGGACAGUCUGACUUCUAGAUGGGCCCUUCCUGGGGCCUCCCGGGAGCAGGACGCCUUAUCUGCCCGGCUCCCCAGCUCCCACACGCUUUGGCAGGAGCAGGAUGAGCCAGGGGCGGGAGGAGGACUGGGCUGGGGUGUGGGGACAUCACAACAGCUCCCGCCUGGUGGCUGUUUUGUUGACUUUGGACAGGCCUUCCCGGAACCCAGAGUCAGUCAUUCUGGGGGCAGACAGCAAAAGGGCCGUCAGGAGCUGGAGGGCGGCAGGCCCCAGGCCUGACCAGUCUACUCCGGCUCUGCCCCCAUAAUAGCCUGGCCUUGCCACUCCCACCCAGGGCCACCCUGGCAGUCCCUCCGGUGGCCUUAACCCAGCCUGCGGGUCAGCAACCCCACCCCUCGCCGGCCCCGCCCCUCCAGCCGCCUACACUUGCUCCAUCUGCACGUCCUCCUCAUCCUCCUGGGGCAGCUGCAGGUACGGGUUGUCCCCUGCUGGCUGGAACUUGUAGCCGGUGAGCACGAAGAAGGCAAGCGUGGAGCCCUCCACCAGGAGCUGCAGGCAGGGGCGGCGCGGGCGUCACGCACCCCCACGCCGCUCGGGCCCGCCCUCCCGCCACACCUGGAGCUUCCCAAGGCUCACCUGGAUGUACUUAAUGAAGGCCCAGCCCGAGCCGAUCAGCGCGAUGGUGAUGAAGAGCAGCGCACCCUUCAGCCUGGGGGCACGGGCAUCUGAUGAGCGGGGGCCUUCCCUGCCUGCCUCCCCGCCCGGCAGAGGGGGCACUCACAGAGCACAGACACCCAGAAGAUGCCGGCGGCCAGGAAGCAGGCAGACAUGACCAGGUAUAGCUUGAAGAGGGGAAUUUCUGCGGCCGACAGGAAGCCGUCAGGGUUCUUCUCCCGGAUCAUCACUAAGGAGGGGGCAGGUGGUCACAGGGCCCUAGCUCUGGACUUGGAGAGCCAGCGCCUGCCAAGUCUCCAGCUCUCCUACUUUCUGGCUGGGCAACUUGCCCUUGUGAGUCUCAGUAUUCUCCAUCUCUCAAAUGGGUGCACAGUCAUCCCUUGGUAUUCCUUGGGGGCUUGGUUCUAGGACCCUGUGGACACUGAAGUCUGAGUUGCUCCAGUCCCUUAUAUAAAAUGGUGUAGCAUCUGCAUAGAGCCUGCCCACACCCUCCCACAGUUGGCAAAUCCUCUGACAGGGGACCAAGAAGCUGCGCUGGGUGGUGCUCCCGCCCCUCCGCAACCUCAGCAGUCGGAUUGCGCCCCUCUGCUCACAGUGAUGUCGAAUGGCCGCUCCCGGCCUGGCAUGGAGUUGUAGCAGUUGUGGAAGUUGAGGCUGUACUGGCCUUCCUCUGCCCUGGAGCCGAUCACCACGUGGAACUGGGCAGGGCAGAGCAGAGAAGGUCUCAGCCUGGAGUCCCCAGCUGUCGGGGAGGCCAGGCUGUGGGCACCAGAGACUCACACUGAAGUUGUAGGAGUCGUCGAGGUGGCCCAGGCCCAACACCAGCUCCUUGUCUUUCCCACUGGGGCCCUGGGGGGACAGAGUCCUUCCAUCAGCUGGCCUUUCCAGAUGGCCCAGGCUCAGGUCCCCAUGCACCCCAGGGCUAGGUCUCUCUCCCUCCCACCCUGGCUCACCGAACCUGAGACACUGCGAGUUCUGCCUUGGCUUUGUUGACCGUGGGGGUUCCUCGAGGAGAAGGGUGAGUGAUUUUAAGAGGAGCAGUCAGAGGAAUGGCAAAAAAUGGAGGAGCCCUGCCCAUCCUCCUCCCCGGCAGCCAGCCCGACUCACCACUCUCUGCCUCGGGGGUGACUGUGGGCUCUGGCCUUGGGAGCACUGGCUUGGGAGUCUCUUCGGGGAGAAGCCCAGGAGAGAUGAACAACUUCUUCUGCUCUCCAUAUUUUCGUACCUGGACCCUGGGUGAGAAGCAGGGGCCUGAGCCCGGGGUCAGGCAUACAACCUGUGCUGAAGGAUGCCAUGGCCCCUCGGGCGCUCUGCAUCUCCUCCCUGGUGACAGCACCUGGCUGAGCCUGGGGCCACCUCCCAUCAGGGCGAGCCCCUCACUGCACUGCUGCGCACUGGGGACUACCAGGUCCUGCCCACUGACGCGCCCGUCCAUGUGAGCACCUCACUCUGUACCCACAGUGAGGCAGCAAGGUGCAGAGUCCCUGGCACCAGGCAGCUUGGGUCUGAAUCCCAGUUCCUGGGACUGUUUUCUGCUCUGAAGAACGGGCAUAACCACAGCGGAAGGAUGGUAGGUUCAUGUGUGUGUGAGCUCCCGGGCACCUCCUGGAGCGCAGGAAGCACGCCGCAAGGACUGAUGGCUAGGUUACCGAUUCUCACAGCCAGUGUCUGGUCUUCUGCUGAGCCCCCAACAUGCCCUGGGUACCCUCUCCUCUCCUUCCUUCCAGUCUCAGAAGGCUGGAAGCAGACACUAAGCAGUGUCUCCCAGGGGCUCAAAGGCCUUUUCAGCUGGUCUCCUGUUCCUCCUGAUCAGCUCAGCCCAUGGGGCAUCACGCUCGGGAAACACCCACUUGGAUCUUCUUCAGCCAGUCCUGCCCCAACUCACUGCAGAUCCUUGGUGUCGAUGAGGAACAGGACCAGGAAGCUGAUACUGUUUCUUUGUAGAGGACAGUCAUGGUCUCUUCUUGUCCCCACCUCUGGGGAACAACAGGUUCUAGAGGCAGGAGACAGACAUCACCCGUCACCAUGGUCCCUCCUUCCCUCCCCACCCCUCCACUCACUGAGUAGGAGCGAAUGCCACCAGAUCGAACCCGGCUCAGACUGAACCCACCUGGUGGGUGAAUGAAAAAUGGAAGAUGUGAGGGACUCCAGAGCCACCUCUUUCCCAGCAACAGAAAUGUAGCUCUCUCCAUUUGUGUACAAAGUGUCAAAACGCAUUCCACUGUCUUGUAUAACUAAUUAGAACAAAAU